Molecule: ribosomal RNA, 500 nt
Filed under: uncultured bacterium
Lineage: Bacteria
Description: bacterial SSU rRNA
Rfam family: Bacterial small subunit ribosomal RNA
Source: RNAcentral
GAACGCUGGCGGCGUGCCUAACACAUGCAAGUCGUGCGAGAAAGUUCCUUCGGGAGCGAGUAAAGCGGCGCACGGGUGAGUAACACGUAGGUAACCUGCCCCCCAGUCUGGAACAACUAGAGGAAACUCUAGCUAAUGCCGGAUGAGACCACGAUCCCUUCGGGGGUUGCGGCCAAAGAUGGCCUCUACUUGUAAGCUAUCGCUGAGGGAUGGGCCUGCGGGCCAUUAGCUUGUUGGUGAGGUAACGGCUCACCAAGGCUGUGAUGGCUAGCUGGUCUGAGAGGAUGACCAGCCACACUGGGACUGAGACACGGCCCAGACUCCUACGGGAGGCAGCAGUGGGGAAUAUUGCGCAAUGGGCGAAAGCCUGACGCAGCGACGCCGCGUGGGUGAUGAAGGCCUUCGGGUCGUAAAGCCCUGUCGCAGGGGAAAAAUAAGCAUCGGUAUAAUACGCCGGUGCCCUGACGGUACCCUGCAAGAAAGCACCGGCUAACUCCGUG